GUUCCUGCUGGCGACCUAGAAGUUUUCCUCAGGCCACAACUUUUGCAGAGUGGACCUGGGAAAAACACCCGCGCCGCACAUACCCUCAAAGCUGAGCUUGGCAGGACACCCAAGGCGACCCGUCAUGCCCACCCGAAGGGAAGAAGCUGUGCUCUCCCGCCCCCUUCUCCCUAGGCCAGCCUGGACGCCCAGGAGGCCCGGGCUGGGCUGUGGGGGUCCGAAAGCCCCAGCGCUGCUGGUGAUUUCUCGCCCAGAGCCCCGCCAAGCCAGCGCGCGCUCUCGCAAGCCUGGCAGACCAGAAACUACUGGAAAAAAGGCGCGGUCGAGAAAGCCUGGUUGUUGUGGUCCCACAAACCACAAAUCAUACGAGAGAGGAUCCCGAAGAGGGGAGAAAAGUCAGUACAAACUUGUUCCUGUCACCUUUGGGAAGAAAAAGUUCCUCACCAGGCGCGGGGCGUGCUUUGCCCUGGGCAGGGUCGCGCUUGCAGGGGCUUGGGUGACCCCCAUCCCUCCCUGGCCGCUCACCUCCUGCGGAGGAGGGCCGUCCGCCUCCUGGCCCAGGGCGCAGGGCGCGUCCUGCCCCGGCACUGCGGACCCCAGGAUCGCUUCCCCCGGGCGCGCGGGCGGGGAAGGAGGAAGAGGCGGGCGGGGAACCGCGGGGUCCUCACCGCCCUGGGGCAUUAGGGGCGCGGAACCGCGUUGGAGGCCUCGCGGCCCCGGCUCGCGAGACCGCACUGCGGAGUGGCCGCGGGAGCUCGGCCAACUCCUCUCCCCCACCCACCUCCUGUCGGACACAGUCUCCACUCUCCAGGCCGCCGGCCGUGGGGGAACCCCUAAUCAGUUCGCGCCCGGCCUCUCUGCCCGUCUUCCUCACGGGAACCGCACCACGACCGGGACGGACGGGAGAGGACGGACGGGGUGACCUAUCUCCCGAUGCAGCGUCAGAGGUUAGCCUAACCACAACGGACUCGGAGUCUGGACUGUAUAAGGAUGCCCUCCGCACUUCCAUCAGGGGUCGGGGAUGCGAUGUCUCCGGGCCCACCUUCUCCCACGCCCAGGGCGCGCCUGCGGAAUGAGACUAUCGUACUGAAGACGAGUGGGCUGCUUGCGACCCAAAUACAAUGGGCCCCUCGCACAUCCUGCACUCGCACGCCCCCUUCUCCCCCAACGAAUUGUCCCCUCUAAAACGCGAGCGGCGACCACACAGCUUGGCCGACCCGAUCUGGCUUCUGAAGAUGAGGUCGGCUGCUCUGGGAGCGGAGAAGGGGAGAGAGCUUAGUGGUUUCAUCGGAGGCCUGGCCAACCUGCUCCUUCCCACGCUCCCGUCCAGGAUUUGAGUCUUGGAGAAGCGUGGGACCCGAGGGAGCUCUUUCCUGGAUCAAGUCGGAGGCCAGGGAGCCCCUUGGCACACACUCGCGCCUGCACAUGCUCGCACCCUCGAAGCGAUCUGGUUCCUUAGCGCUGGUUUCCUCUCCAGCUCCUUUGAGCUCUUCGAAGUCCCCUUUCCCAGGGAGGCGGGCAGGGCCAGGCUAAGCAGGAUGGAAGGCAGCCCUUUUUGUUGAAUCUGAUAGCUACUUUCCCAAAAAGGCCAGAAAAGCCAUUUCACAUCUCCAUAGUUAUAGGAAUAAACUUUUUCUCCAAGAUGCUCCCAUUAGCCAAUUAAACCAUCAGUGGGCCAACAGGGUCAAAGUUAGUGGCUUGGUGGUUAAAAGCUCGGAGUCCGAGCUCUCUGAAGACUUUUUUCCCGUCUUGCCACUUUCUAGUUGGUGACCUUGGCAAGCAAGGUACUCAGCCGCUGUGUACCUCAGUUUUGCGAUUUGUAAAAUGGGAGUUACAAUAGUGCAUUCCUUGUAGAGUGGCUAUAGGUUUAAGAGUUAAUAUACGCAAGGUCUUUAGGACUGUGCUGAGCGCGCAGAAGGCCCUCUCUUGAGUGGUCGCAGUUGGCUGCUCUCGGCCUCAUCUCCGUUUGUGAAAACCCACCCAGAUUCCGGUCCUCCCAGGCCCCAGCUGAAGUUUGGAGAGAGGCUUUGCCGAAUAGCUCUUUAGUCUCCCCCAACCCCCUUGGCCCUCGGAGCUCCCGGAAAAAGUUCUUAAUGAAGUAAUGUUGAGAGCGUCCAUUAAAAAUGCAAUGCUGGG
This 2136-nucleotide long non-coding RNA is filed under the name Pongo abelii (Sumatran orangutan). RNAcentral describes it as "lincRNA". Lineage: Eukaryota; Metazoa; Chordata; Mammalia; Primates; Hominidae. The record is from RNAcentral.